AAGACGAAAGGGCGAAGAUGGCAAAGAACGCGAAGGGGUCUCCCCUCACUCCUGUGUCUCCUUUUAUGGCCGAGGCGGAGUAAUGGGGCACGUUUCCCAUGAUAUCCGCCGAGUGGCUAGGGGGAUCAGCCCAUGAUAUGAGCAGUUAUGCUCAUCAAGACAUGCGCUCGGUUACCGCGCGGCGUGCGGUCGAGAAUCCCGCAAUACCCGGCGUAUAUUU
This 220-nucleotide long non-coding RNA is filed under the name Brachypodium distachyon (stiff brome). RNAcentral's name for it is "long non-coding RNA (BDIS_LNC005928)". The record is from RNAcentral. Lineage: Eukaryota; Viridiplantae; Streptophyta; Magnoliopsida; Poales; Poaceae.